RNAcentral lists this transfer RNA (601 nucleotides) under Zalophus californianus (California sea lion). Its description in RNAcentral is "lncRNA (ENSZCAG00015003421.1)". The record is from RNAcentral. Lineage: Eukaryota; Metazoa; Chordata; Mammalia; Carnivora; Otariidae.
UCUAUAAGGAAUCGUUUGGGAGAGGUGGUAGAAAUAAAUGAGAGCACCUGUUUAUCAUUAAAAACGAAAGACUGAACUGUUGCAGUUACUUUCUAAAGUCACUUUUUUUUAUAGGAAGAUUUUGGAUAAAUCAUUAUCAAGGAAGCUAAGGACACCUGUGUUGUAUUGAAAGCACACCAGCCAUGAAAUCGGAAGGCCCAAAUUUGAAUUCCAGUUAUUCACAAAUGAAUCUCUACACCCGACAUGGGGCUCGAACUCAUGACCCCGAGAUCAAAAGUUGCAUGCUCUUCUGACUGAGCCAGCCGGGUGCCCCUGAACUAUCUAGAGCCCAGAUUCUGAGGAAGAGUCACAUGGAGAAUCCUACAGAGGACCCUUUCCCCCAACCCCAGCCUGUGCUUAAUUAAGUGAGUGGCUUAAGGGACUUGCCUCCUCUUGAAGAUUAAGAGGUGGGUGUGAAUAUUUUCCUCUGGCCCCCUUAAUGUUCUUGAUUACAGUAAUAAAAAUGCUAAGCUCUAUUGCCUCUCGUUGGAGUAAAGGCGGCUGAAAACUCCUCAUUCCCUGAAGAACCUAAUUGUUGAUUCUACUGCAUCUAAACAGGUGU